CAGCCGCCGCGGUAAUACGGAGGGUGCAAGCGUUAAUCGGAAUUACUGGGCGUAAAGCGCACGCAGGCGGUCUGACAAGUCAGAUGUGAAAUCCCCGGGCUUAACCUGGGAACUGCAUUUGAAACUGUCAGGCAGGAGUCUUGUAGAGGGGGGUGGAAUUCCAGGUGUAGCGGUGAAAUGCGUAGAGAUCUGGAGGAAUACCGGUGGCGAAGGCGGCCCCCUGGACAAAGACUGACGCUCAGGUGCGAAAGCGUGGGGAGCAAACAGGAUUAGAUACCCCGGUAGUCCCUGUCUCUUAUAC
This 301-nucleotide ribosomal RNA is filed under the name uncultured bacterium. Its description in RNAcentral is "partial 16S ribosomal RNA". It matches the Rfam family "Bacterial small subunit ribosomal RNA", at positions 509 to 807 of the family's 1533-position model. The record is from RNAcentral.